This is an RNA transcript of Manihot esculenta (cassava), 1730 nucleotides long. It is a transcript of the gene named probable Histone-lysine N-methyltransferase ATXR5, with no coding region annotated. The record is from RefSeq and is a predicted model, not a curated record. The transcript has 8 exons. NCBI's taxonomy places the organism in Eukaryota, Viridiplantae, Streptophyta, Magnoliopsida, Malpighiales, Euphorbiaceae.
GCACAUGAAUUUCCGUGCGCACCUGCCGCGCACGUUAGAAUCUCUGACCCAUCCGUUUCUAUCUCCCUCCAUUCCCCGCGAGUGAGGAGACCAAUAAACGCAUUUCUGUCCAAUUUUCCAGUUCUUUCUUCUUUCCUCCAGAGCUACAUUGUCCUCCCAAAUUCCAAGUUAACCUCUUUUUCAUUUUUGUAAUUACCAGCCUGCCUCCGCCUUAUGGCUCCGGCUUCCACCACCUCCUCAUCGGGGGCGGCGGCGGCGGCUCGGCGUCUCAUUGGCUGUCGCCGACGAACUGAGGUUACUCCCUUGCCUUCUCCUCCGGAUUCACCGCCACCGAAGAAACUGAAGCCCAUGUCCGAGAUAUUGGCCAAGGCGAAGUACGCUGUCGUGGAGCGAAAUGACUACAACGACGUAAGCUGCGAGCAAUGCGGGUCCGGUGACCUGGAUGAUGAGCUCCUUUUGUGUGAUAAAUGCGAUAAGGGAUUUCACAUGAAAUGCCUGAGGCCGAUCGUUGCGAGAGUACCGAUUGGGUCGUGGCUCUGUCCUAUGUGCUCUGGCCAGAGACGAGUAAGAAGACUUUCACAGAAGAAGAUAAUCGAUUUCUUUAGGAUUCGGAACUGUAAUUGUAAGAAAGAUAAAUGCAGUUCUCCUCUAGAGAUGAAAAAGCGCCGAAGGCGAUCUGGAUCAUUGGUGUAUCAAAAGAAAAGGCGGAGACUGUUGCCAUUUAUUUCAUCUCAAGAUCAUUCUGAAAGGUUGAAACAAAUGGGUACUCUUGCUUCUGCAUUGACUGCAUUACAAAUGGAGUUUAGUAAUGAUCUAACCUACAUGCCUGGCAUGGCUUCUACAUCUGCCAAUCAGUCAAAGUUCGAAGAUGGUGGCAUGCAGGUUCUUUCCAAGGAGGAUAUAGAGACAUUGGAACAAUGUAGAGCUAUGUGUAGAAGAGGCGAAUGCCCUCCCCUUAUGGUGGUUUUUGAUGCAUGUGAAGGCAGAUUUACAGUUGUGGCAGAUGGCCUGAUAAAAGAUAUGACACUUAUAGCAGAAUACACAGGCGAUGUGGAUUACAUUAGAAACCGUGAACAUGAUGAUUGUGAUAGUAUGAUGACGCUUCUCUUAGCAGAAGACCCAUCCAGAAGUCUUGUAAUCUGCCCUGACAAACGUGGAAAUAUUGCUCGCUUUAUCAAUGGCAUUAACAAUCAUACUCCAUUCAAAGGCAUUCUUUAAAGCUGCAUGGUUAAAGAAUUAUCUGGAAGCUUGGGCACAUGGUGAGCUGCUGUGUGUAUCAUCUUGUUGCCACUUCUAGAGUUUUACCAGAUAGUAAUGUUGUGGGUUUGAAACUCGUGUUUGCCUUCCAUGCACGAGGAGCUUUUAUUAUCUGACCAAAAGGAUUAGUUAUGCUGCUGCAUCUACCCCUUUACCUGGCUAGUCAAGGCGGCAGUGAACCAUCUGAUGAGACAAUAAGAACUAUCAGGUUCUUAAGGUUUAUGACUUAAAAUUGUGCACCCAAAGCAGCCAUUAAAAGAUGCCGUUGCCUGUAGUGAAAGGAAAAAUUACUUCUGGAAGCUGAUCUUUAGAUUUCUGGGCAAUUAAAGUGAUGAAAGCUGAAGAUUUCUGUAGUAAAAGCAAUUGCAAAGCUUGUGGAGAUCUUGCAUAUUAUGCUUGUGAAUAUUUUGCGUAUUAUUACAAAAUUUCUUUGUAAAAUAUCAGUGUAUCCAAUCGUGUUCCUGUGGUUCUCC